UACGUAGGGUGCGAGCGUUGUCCGGAAUCAUUGGGCGUAAAGCGCGCGUAGGUGGCCUCAUAAGUCCGCUGUGAAAGUCAAAGGCUCAACCUUUGAAAGCCGGUGGAUACUGUGAGGCUAGAGUACGGAAGAGGCGAGUGGAAUUCCUGGUGUAGCGGUGGAAUGCGCAGAUAUCAGGAGGAACACCAAUAGCGAAGGCAGCUCGCUGGGACGUUACUGACACUGAGGCGCGAAAGCGUGGGGAGCGAACAGG
RNAcentral lists this ribosomal RNA (253 nucleotides) under uncultured bacterium. RNAcentral's name for it is "partial 16S ribosomal RNA". It matches the Rfam family "Bacterial small subunit ribosomal RNA", at positions 524 to 776 of the family's 1533-position model. The record is from RNAcentral.